This 421-nucleotide ribosomal RNA is filed under the name Verrucomicrobiota bacterium. RNAcentral describes it as "Verrucomicrobia bacterium partial 16S ribosomal RNA". It matches the Rfam family "Bacterial small subunit ribosomal RNA", at positions 355 to 776 of the family's 1533-position model. The record is from RNAcentral. Lineage: Bacteria; Pseudomonadati; Verrucomicrobiota.
UGGGGGAUAUUGCACAAUGGGCGAAAGCCUGAUGCAGCGACGCCGCGUGGGGGAUGAAGGCUUUCGGGUUGUAAACCUCUUUCGCUAUCGAACAAGGCUCAUUUUUUGGUGGGUUGAGGGUAGGUGGAGAAGAAGCGCCGGCUAACUACGUGCCAGCAGCCGCGGUAAUACGUAGGGCGCGAGCGUUGUCCGGAAUUAUUGGGCGUAAAGGGCUUGUAGGCGGCUUGUUGCGCCUGCUGUGAAAACGCGGGGCUUAACUUCGCGCGUGCAGUGGGUACGGGCAGGCUUGAGUGUGGUAGGGGUGACUGGAAUUCCAGGUGUAGCGGUGGCAUGCGCAGAUAUCUGGAGGAACACCGAUGGCGAAGGCAGGUCACUGGGCCAUUACUGACGCUGAGGAGCGAAAGCAUGGGUAGCGAACAGG